UGGCGGACGGGUGAGUAACGCGUGGGUAACCUGCCCUGUACAGGGGGACAACAGCUGGAAACGGCUGCUAAUACCGCAUAAGCCUACGGUACCGCAUGGUACAGCAGGAAAAACUCCGGUGGUACAGGAUGGGCCCGCGUCUGAUUAGUUAGUUGGCAGGGUAACGGCCUACCAAGACAACGAUCAGUAGCCGGCUUGAGAGAGUGGACGGCCACAUUGGGACUGAGACACGGCCCAAACUCCUACGGGAGGCAGCAG
This 258-nucleotide ribosomal RNA is filed under the name uncultured bacterium. Its description in RNAcentral is "partial 16S ribosomal RNA". It matches the Rfam family "Bacterial small subunit ribosomal RNA", at positions 96 to 354 of the family's 1533-position model. The record is from RNAcentral.